This 508-nucleotide ribosomal RNA is filed under the name Acanthophrynus coronatus. RNAcentral describes it as "partial large subunit ribosomal RNA". It matches the Rfam family "Bacterial large subunit ribosomal RNA", at positions 1885 to 2600 of the family's 2925-position model. Lineage: Eukaryota; Metazoa; Arthropoda; Arachnida; Amblypygi; Phrynidae. The record is from RNAcentral.
GGUUUUUUGUGUUAAUGGAAAAUCUAACCUGCCCAAUGAGGUUUUCAAUGGCCGCAGUAUUUUGACUGUGCUAAGGUAGCAUAAUCAUUAGUCUUGUAAUUUAAGACUGGAAUGAAAGGUUGGACGAAGGAAUAGCUGUCUUUAUGAUAUUUUAUUGAAAUUAAUGGUGUUGUGAAAAGGCAACUAAUUAGCUGAGGGACGAGAAGACCCUAUUGAGUUUAAUGAAUUUGUUAUGUUGUAGUUAUAGGUUUGUAAUUUGGCAUAAGUAGGUUUAUUUCGCUGGGGCGGUGUUGAAAGAUAAAUAUCUUUUAAAUAAAUUAGUAGUGAGAUGUAUUUUGAGCCAGGUAAAAUUAGUUGAUAAUGAGAUCAAAUUACUGUAGGGAUAACAGCGUAAUAUUAUUGGAGAGUUCUUAUUGAUAAUGAAUUUUGCGACCUCGAUGUUGAAUUAAAAUUUCUAUUUGGUGAAGAAGCUAAAUUAGGUAGUCUGUUCGACUAUUAAAUUUUUACA